RNAcentral lists this long non-coding RNA (261 nucleotides) under Carica papaya (papaya). Its description in RNAcentral is "long non-coding RNA (CPAP_LNC007016)". The record is from RNAcentral. Lineage: Eukaryota; Viridiplantae; Streptophyta; Magnoliopsida; Brassicales; Caricaceae.
UUCCUUGACUUGAUGCAUGAAUUGGUAUAUUUGUUGACACAUGGUUUAUUUGAACAUGAAAUGUGAGUUGAUAUGCCUGAGGGUUACAAAAAUAUGAUUAUUAAAUGCGUGUGGGAUUGGCCCUUUACCUUACCUUUGGUAAUGGUGAAAAGGGUUAUUCUAGGAGCCCUGAAUUUGAUCCCGAUGGUCAAGUUCGAGUAAUAUGGGCCUUGUGCCAUAUAUGUUAAUGGAUCCCAACCAAGUUUUGGAUAUAUGAUCAUG